UACCGGAAUCUAUUUUUAAUUAGCAUAAUUUGCGCCUCAUUAGGUUUUUUCAAGAGACUUCUCACAGACCCUAAUCUCAAACUAUCCAUCUUCCCUCAUAGUCUCAGAGGCAAAGUUCAAGAUUUCCCAACAUGCUGCUACUCAACAAUUAACAGUUUCCAAACUCCUCAUCCAUCAUUCUCGCAUGACGGUUCUGGAAACUCAACUCGACAGUGUGAUUUUAUACCGCAAACCCUAAUUCUAAGAGCUGAUUCUGGAAUAGUACUCGGUUUUCAAGAUUUUGUUUUUGGAGGAUUCGCCACUGAAUCCGAUGUGGACGACGUCGUUGUGAUCGGAGGAUACGCGGCGGCAGCAAUUAACGCCGCUCAAAACAUCCUGUAUUGAGAAACGGGGGUGUCGUUGGUGCUACUUGCCACCAUGCCGGCUGUAUCCCUUCUAAGGAUAGGAGCAUCUUCAUUCUUCUCAUGAAACCCAAGACUAAGUUUGCAAAUCAUGGCAUAAAGUGUGAGAGUGCAAAGAUGAAUCUCGCUGCCAUGAUGGCCCAUAAGCACAAAGUCGUCUUUAAGAUAACAAAAGGCGUUGAAUCCCUUUUCAAGAAGAAUAAGGUUAGCCAUGUCAAAGACGACUGGUAUAAUUUUAUUUUUUGCUUAAUUUUAAUUUUGUUAUUCAUUUUUAUUCUUACCCACUCCCCUUUAUUGAUGUUUGUGUGUGAUAGUAAUCAAAAUAUUGUAAGAAAAUUACAAAAUCAACUUCAAUUUCAGUGUGCAAAAAAUAUUGUAAGAAAAUUACAAAAUUAACUUAAAUUUUAGUGUGCGAACCGUUGUUAUUUGUUGGUAAUAUCAAUAUCAAUUCAACGGUUAUCGGCACAAUUCGCUAAUUUAUCAGGUUAUAAUUUGAUAUUAGUUUCUUAGUGGAUUAAAUCUCUUUGUCUUUUGUAUGUCAUAUCGUUUACGUCGUUAGUGUCCAAAUUAAAAUGGUUUUUGUUUAGAUGUUAAUGUUCUGAAACUAUAUCUUCUCCGAUCCGUCUGUCUUUCAUUGGAUAUAGAAAUUUAUUAGUUUCAACUCAGUUUUUUACCCAUUUGAUUGCCAGGUUUUUUUAUCAUUUAUAACAUACCACAGAAUUAUAAAACUUAGUUUUGAUAGACGGAUUGAAUGGGUAACAGUUAUUUCCAAUAGACGUGUCAAAUGGGUAAAAGUGUGUCGUUAAUUCAUCUUGGUCAAAGAAAUAAUUGAAACAUUAUUUCGUUUUUGAAAAUUUGGAUGGAAGUCUCUGGUCAACCCAAAUUUAGCUUAAAAUUGCCUGUCUAUUCACUUCUGCGACUAACCAUCACUUAAAGGGUGUUCCAGGUUUGCUUAAAGCGUUUCUGGGUUUUGUGAGUCACAGAUAACGAAAGGCAUGUUUUGGGAUUAGAAUGGAGUGUUGAAGAAAGACAAUUAAACAUGUAUUGUUGGCUUUUGUUAUGAUGUGAUUGAAAAAUGUAAGGUAUGGUGUGUGCGCUUCUAGAAAUUGUAACCAAUAAGCAUAUUUAAUUAAACACACGCCCAUGGUAUACAAGGUAUAUGAACUCUUAAAAUGGUGUCUAUUCAUGAGGAUUGAGAACGUUGAUGUAUAAGGCCACCAUGUGAUGAUGUUCAAAUUGAAGGCAUUACUAAUCCUUAAGAAUUCAGAAAGGUUAUUAUGUGUACUUGACUGAUAAUUACUAUUAUAUAAUUAUAUAUUUAUGUUGAUGUUCAUUGCAUUUCUAAUCUUUGAUUCAAACUUAAAUGUUAAAUAGUUAUUAGAACUUUGAUUAUUAUUAUGUUUGUCUGGUUAUCUAAACUUUGACACAUGUUUUUGAUUUAUUUAAAGUAUAGGUUGGGAUACAAACCAGUUUUAUUAUGGAUGUUAAUGAAGCCGCUUUGGUUAUGUUUGGUGUUAUCAGAAAUAUUGGUAAUGAUGCCCAUUAUAGGUUGAGUCCUCUUUGGAGAGAUAAUAAAACUACCAUUUUGUAAGCAAUCAUGGUGUCUACUCAUGUUUUGCCAAUGGCAAAUCUACUUGAGAGAGUUUAUGUAAUUUUUCAAUUUUUGAAUAUAUGUUCUGCAGUUAAUAUUACUGUUUUUUCAUA
Molecule: long non-coding RNA, 2105 nt
Organism: Helianthus annuus (common sunflower)
Lineage: Eukaryota; Viridiplantae; Streptophyta; Magnoliopsida; Asterales; Asteraceae
Exons: 5
Source: RefSeq, a predicted model, not a curated record